AGAUUGAACGCUGGCGGCAUGCCUUACACAUGCAAGUCGAACGGCAGCACGGGGGCAACCCUGGUGGCGAGUGGCGAACGGGUGAGUAAUGCAUCGGAACGUGCCCAGUAGUGGGGGAUAACUAGUCGAAAGAUUAGCUAAUACCGCAUACGACCUAUGGGUGAAAGCGGGGGAUUCGCAAGAACCUCGCGCUAUCGGAGCGGCCGAUGUCUGAUUAGCUAGUUGGCGGGUAAAAGCCCACCAAGGCUUCGAUCAGUAGCUGGUCUGAGAGGACGACCAGCCACACUGGGACUGAGACACGGCCCAGACUCCUACGGGAGGCAGCAGUGGGGAAUUUUGGACAAUGGGCGCAAGCCUGAUCCAGCCAUGCCGCGUGCGGGAAGAAGGCCUUCGGUUGUAAACCGCUUUUGGCAGGAACGAACGGCGCGAGCGAAUAUCUCGCGUUAAUGACGGUACCUGCAAGAAUAAGCACCGGACUAACUACGU
Molecule: ribosomal RNA, 486 nt
Filed under: uncultured soil bacterium
Lineage: Bacteria
Description: bacterial SSU rRNA
Rfam family: Bacterial small subunit ribosomal RNA
Source: RNAcentral